AAUGUAUACAGUUUAUUACUCACAAUAGUUAUACAGUACAAAAUACAAUGUUUUCCUAACCCUUUUCAAUGAUUUUUAUAAAAAGUUUAUUUUGGUGCAGAUUUUAGAACUUUUGUUUUUUAUUGUUUUAAAUGUUUAAAUGAAUUGCAUCUCUAAACAUCUAACAUCAGUAUAGAUUUUAAAAGUUCAGCUCUUGUCACAGGGUGAACAGUUUUUAUUCCAGUAACUAUGAUCGAAUCGAAUAGAAUUAGUUUUAUCGCAGAUCCAGUCUGAAGGCAGUGUUGGCAGAGGCGCAUUGUCUGCUGAUUGGUCAGAUUUCUUGCGCAUGCGCAGAGCGUUCGAGAAACAUGGCGUCCUCCAGUGAGCGCUCCGAGAAAAGCGAAAGUUUCCAGAGAAACGAACGCGGCGAUGCGCUUGUUUCAGACAGUCUUUCACACGACAGCUGCAGCGAGACUGUGCAAGACGAAGACUCGAGCGAAUAUGACAAGAAAGUGGGCGUAUCGACACAAACCGGGACCUAACUGUUACUGGCUCACGCGCGUGGCGCUGCUGCGAGCCAUCGCUUUCAUCUACUGUGAGUCCGACAGGUGGCAGCGCUACAGGAUGCUGUUGCUAGGAGACCAGACACACUUAGUUACAUCAGUUAGUUACAGUUACUAGCCUGUGCACUAGAAACCUAAAAGUUUACAUUAGUGCAACGCCUGUGUAUAAUAUAAUACCUCACCUUUUUCUUGCCAAAGUGUGAAAUCACUGCUGUCUAGUUGUGGCUUUCUGCUCAUUGGAGAGAAAGGGCUCAUGCCAUGAAGGACUACUUGAGGAGCAUUAAGCGUUAUGUGGGUGGCAAGAUUGGCAUUGCGGCCCUGGCGUACACUCCUUCGGUCCUCUGGUUUAUGGACUGGAAUGACAUGGAUGCCAACCUGGAUGGCACUGCUCUGGUGGGAAUGGCUCUGGCAGGGUUUGUUUUAAUUAUGGGGAAGUGCCAGUAUGAUCAUUAUGGGAGUGCUUUGGAUCCUGUAUCACUCUGAGCGUCAGACAGCUUUGGUGCUCUUUUGAAUUCGCUUCAGUGUUUAGGUUUUUGAUUUGGGAUGUCCAUGAGUGUGACCGAUGGAGGCUUUGAAGCCAAAUCCGUUCGGUACGAUGUGGCCUGCGCCAAGUCACAGUGGGAAGAUGAUUCAUCUGAACUCUUAGCCCAGCGUUUUACCUCAUCCCACUAACCACAUCUGUGAUCGUUUCAUCCCACCGAAAUCCAAAUUCUCCAGAUAAACAAGAAAGCCACAAAUGGCUUCAAUUGGCCAAUCAGGAUUUAAUUUAAGCCCGUUGUUGAGUGGAAGACAAGAACAUGUUUUUUGAUUUAUAUUUGAAAAUUUCUUUUGUGUUUUACACCAGUUUUGUCAUUUAAAGCUUUUCCUGGUUUUAGGGAUCAAUCCAAGUGAAUGUAACAGUGUAAUGUCAUGUAAUGAUUUUCAGAUGAUUAGAAAUCUUUUUCCAUUUUCAGAAGUGUACAUACCAGGGGUGUAAAACUACAGCGUUAUGGAUCAAUGCAUCAAACAGAUGACUAGCAAUGUG
Molecule: long non-coding RNA, 1566 nt
Organism: Cyprinus carpio carpio
Lineage: Eukaryota; Metazoa; Chordata; Actinopteri; Cypriniformes; Cyprinidae
Source: Ensembl